ACGAUGAGCCAUGCUGCCGCUUGUAAAAGCAAUUUUGUAGGAGGAAAGUCCGGGCUCCGCAGGGCAUGAUGCCGGAUAACGUCCGGGACAUGCAGCGCAUGCGCUGCAUGUUAAGACAGUGCAACAGAAAAUAUACCGCCGCAAGGUAAGGGUGAAAAGGCGGGGUAAAAGCCCACCGGCAGACAGGUAACUGUCUGCGCAUUGCAAACCUCAUCAGGAGCAAAGCCGAACAGUGCAUUGGCUGCCCGCCUUAUAUGCACGGGUAGGCUGCUUGACGUUUUUUUGUAAAAUAAAACGCAGAUAAAUGGCAGCAGGUUUAACAUUGUUAAGCAACAGAACCCGGCUUAUGGUUCAUCGUUUUU
RNAcentral lists this RNase P RNA (362 nucleotides) under Spirochaetaceae bacterium. RNAcentral describes it as "RNase P RNA component class A". It matches the Rfam family "Bacterial RNase P class A". From Rfam's summary of the family: Ribonuclease P (RNase P) is a ubiquitous endoribonuclease, found in archaea, bacteria and eukarya as well as chloroplasts and mitochondria. Its best characterised activity is the generation of mature 5'-ends of tRNAs by cleaving the 5'-leader elements of precursor-tRNAs. Lineage: Bacteria; Pseudomonadati; Spirochaetota; Spirochaetia; Spirochaetales; Spirochaetaceae. The record is from RNAcentral.